Molecule: ribosomal RNA, 934 nt
Filed under: uncultured bacterium
Lineage: Bacteria
Description: bacterial SSU rRNA
Rfam family: Bacterial small subunit ribosomal RNA
Source: RNAcentral
AGAGUUUGAUCAUGGCUCAGAAUGAACGCUGGCGGCGUGCCUAACACAUGCAAGUCGAGCGAGAAAGUCCCCUUCGGGGGGCGAGUAAAGCGGCGCACGGGUGAGUAACGCGUGGGUAACCUGCCCUAGAGCGGGGGAUAACCAGCCGAAAGGCUGACUAAUCCCGCAUACGACCGGCAGACACAAGUCUGCUGGGGAAAGAUGGCCUCUGCUUGCAAGCUAUCGCUCUUGGAUGGGCCUGCGUUGGAUUAGCUAGUUGGUGAGGUAAUGGCUCACCAAGGCUGCGAUCCAUAGCUGGUUUGAGAGGACGACCAGCCACACUGGAACUGAGACACGGUCCAGACUCCUACGGGAGGCAGCAGUGAGGAAUAUUGCGCAAUGGGGGAAACCCUGACGCAGCGACGCCGUGUGAGCGAUGAAGGCCUUCGGGUCGUAAAGCUCUGUCAGAGGGAAAGAAAGGGCCGGAGGAAUAAUACCCUUCGGCAUUGACGGUACCCUCAGAGGAAGCACCGGCUAACUCCGUGCCAGCAGCCGCGGUAAUACGGAGGGUGCAAGUGUUAUUCGGAAUCACUGGGCGUAAAGAGCACGUAGGCGGAUUGGUAAGUCAGGUGUGAAAUCCCGGGGCUCAACUCCGGAACUGCAUUUGAUACUGCCAGUCUUGAGUGAGGUAGAGGGGAGUGGAAUUCCCGGUGUAGAGGUGAAAUUCGUAGAUAUCGGGAGGAACACCAGAGGCGAAGGCGACUCCCUGGGCCUCUACUGACGCUGAGGUGCGAAAGCGUGGGGAGCAAACAGGAUUAGAUACCCUGGUAGUCCACGCCGUAAACGAUGAGUACUAGGUGCGGGGGGUAUAAACUCCUUCCGUGUCGCAGCUAACGCAUUAAGUACUCCGCCUGGGAAGUACGGUCGCAAGGCUGAAACUCAAAUGAAUUGACGG